GACGAACGCUGGCGGCGUGCUUAACACAUGCAAGUCGAACGGAAAGGCCCUGCUUUUGUGGGGUGCUCGAGUGGCGAACGGGUGAGUAACACGUGAGUAACCUGCCCUUGACUUUGGGAUAACUUCAGGAAACUGGGGCUAAUACCGGAUAGGAGCUCCUGCUGCAUGGUGGGGGUUGGAAAGUUUCGGCGGUUGGGGAUGGACUCGCGGCUUAUCAGCUUGUUGGUGGGGUAGUGGCUUACCAAGGCUUUGACGGGUAGCCGGCCUGAGAGGGUGACCGGCCACAUUGGGACUGAGAUACGGCCCAGACUCCUACGGGAGGCAGCAGUGGGGAAUAUUGCACAAUGGGCGGAAGCCUGAUGCAGCAACGCCGCGUGCGGGAUGACGGCCUUCGGGUUGUAACCCGCUUUCGCAUGUGACGAAGCGUGAGUGACGGUAAUGGGUAAAGAAGCACCGGCUAACUACGUG
RNAcentral lists this ribosomal RNA (468 nucleotides) under uncultured bacterium. Its description in RNAcentral is "partial 16S ribosomal RNA". It matches the Rfam family "Bacterial small subunit ribosomal RNA", at positions 28 to 507 of the family's 1533-position model. The record is from RNAcentral.